ACUAGACACAGCCCAAAACACAUCAUAACAUAUUACUCUAACACAACAAAAAUAAAACAAAACAUUUACAUUAAUAAAAGUAUAGGUGAUAGAAAUUAUAAAAAGCGCUGUAGAAAUAGUACCGCAAGGGAAAAAAUGAAAGAAACCUAUAAGUGAUAAACAGCAAAGAUUAACUCUUGUACCUUUUGCAUAAUGAUUCAACUAGACAACACUAGCAAAAGGAAUUUAAGUUAAAGAACCCGAAACCAGACGAGCUACCCACUAACAGCUUUUUUCAGAGCAAACUCAUCUGUGUAGCAAAACAGUGAGAAGAUUACUAGGUAGCGGUGACAAACCUAACGAGCCUGGUGAUAGCUGGUUGUCCAGAGCAGAAUCUAAGUUCUAAUUUAAAUUUACCAUAUAACUAACAAAUUUAAAUGUAAAUUUAAAUAAUAAUCUAAAAAGGUACAGCUCUUUAGAUGAAGGAUACAACCUUUAUUAGCGAGAAAACUUAUAAACAAAAUAACUUCAGUUGGCUUAAGAGCAGCCACCAAACAAGACAGCGUUCAAGCUCGACAAUUAAGUACUAGACUUAAUCUCCAACAUACCAAAAGUGCUCCUAAUAUAAAACUGGACUACUCUAUUCUUAAAUAGAGGCGAUAAUGUUGAUAUGAGUAACAAGAAAUAUUUCUCCACGCACACGUGUAUAUCAGAACGAACCCCUCACUGAUAGUUACCAAAAAGAGUAUAACCAAACAAUAGAACUCUACUAUUUAUUGUUAACCCAACACAGGAGUGCAAUCUAAGGAAAGAUUAAAAGAAGUAAAAGGAACUCGGCAAAUAUAAAUCCCGCCUGUUUACCAAAAACAUCACCUCUAGCAUAACAAGUAUUAGAGGCACUGCCUGCCCAGUGACCUCAGUUCAACGGCCGCGGUAUCCUGACCGUGCAAAGGUAGCAUAAUCACUUGUUCUUUAAAUAAGGACUUGUAUGAAUGGCCCCACGAGGAUUUUACUGUCUCUUACUUCCAAUCAGUGAAAUUGACAUUCCCGUGAAGAGGCGGGAAUUAACCAAUAAGACGAGAAGACCCUAUGGAGCUUUAAUUAACCAGUUCACAAAUAACAAGAUUACUCUAAAAGAAAUAAACCACAUUUUACAUGAGCUGAUAAUUUAGGUUGGGGUGACCUCGGAAUAAAACACAACUUCCGAGAAAUUUUAACUAAGACAGACAAGUCAAAAUUAAUUGCAUAAAUAUAUAUUGAUCCGUUAAUCUAAGCGAUCAACGAAACAAGUUACCCUAGGGAUAACAGCGCAAUCCUAUUUAAGAGUCCAUAUCGACAAUUAGGGUUUACGACCUCGAUGUUGGAUCAGGACAUCCCAAUGGUGCAGCAGCUAUUAAUGUGUUCGUUUGUUCAACGAUUAAAGUCCUACGUGAUCUGAGUUCAGACCGGAGUAAUCCAGGUCGGUUUCUAUCUAUUUUUUAGCCUCCCCUAGUACGAAAGGACAAGGGAGACAAGGCCCACUUAAAACAAGCGCCUUCACCAAAUAAAUGAACUAAUCUCAAUUCACCAUAACAAUCCAACCCAAGAAAAGGGUUUA
Molecule: ribosomal RNA, 1576 nt
Filed under: Kerivoula hardwickii (Hardwicke's woolly bat)
Lineage: Eukaryota; Metazoa; Chordata; Mammalia; Chiroptera; Vespertilionidae
Description: 16S ribosomal RNA
Rfam family: Bacterial large subunit ribosomal RNA
Source: RNAcentral